CUGAGGAAUAGGACUGUCUGGAGGGAUGAGAGGAUUGCCUCAAGGCUUAAAGUGCAUCCCUGAGAAGUGGGGAGCAUUUCCCACAGCAAAAGACGGGGAUAGGGCUUUGGAUACCCUUAUCUGCUUUACUUACACUGGACCUAGGAAGGAAGAAGGAGACUGGGAUUUAGGGAGCACCUAGUGUGGGCCAAGCUGGCAAAAGCCUGACCACGUGAAGGGUUAAGAGUACAUGGUUCUCGGCUUCCUGGCUGCUGCUGCUUUUUUUGUUGUUGUUGGAUGUUGUUGUUGAGAUGGAGUCUUGCUCUGUCGCCCAAGCUGGAGUGCAAUGGCAUGAUCUCAGCUCACUGCUACCUCCACCUCCUGAGUUCAAGUGAUUCUCCUGCCUCGGCCUCCUGAGAAGCUGGGAUUACAGGUACAGGCCAUGACACCUGACUAGUUUUUGUAUUUCUAGUAGAGAUGGGGUUUCACCAUGUUGACCGGGCUGGUCUCAAACUCCUGACCUCAAGUGAUUUGCCCGCCUCAGCCUCCCAUGCUGGGAUUACAGGCAUGAGUCACCGUGCCCGGCCCCCCGAUUGCUUCUAUGUGAACAAUCCCAUGACCUCUGGUCCCGCUCCUGCUUUGUGGUUGGCUCAACUGAGUCAUGGUGGGGAGAAAGAGAACCCACUCUCCCUGCCUUGCUCCUGGCAAGGGAGCCUAGCGUCCAGUGAGAACAGGUGUAGUAGACUUGUCGGGUGGGAAUGUGAAGAGCUGAGGCUUGUGUGCCUGGCAGGUCUGGCUGUAUGAGAUGGGUUACCUUGGGGGUUGAGUUAACCCUGGCAGGCUGUGUCCUUGUCUGAAAAGGAGAAUAAUCAUAUGAGCCUCUCAGGAGUUGUGAGGGCAGUGCCUGGCCCAAAAUAGAUGUUUGUUCCCUUCCUCUUGGUCUAGGUAGAGCUGAGUGGGGUUAGAGUUCUCUAGGAGGCUGCUUUGCCCACUGUGUCAUGUUUCAGUGCCCAAUGGGGCAAUGUGGCCUUUGGCCCUGGAGUCUGAAGCUAUCCCGUGGUACCCUGCUGUCGUCUCCCCACGAUGCUCCCAAGACCUCAGGACCUCCGGUCCCCAGGCACCUUUCUUGCCUCCACAAGUCCCCAGUGUUGCAGACUAAUAUGUUGUCCUCAGGGCUCUCUCAGCCAUUCUCUUGUUUGGUAUUUAAGUGGCAAGAAAUCAAAUUAUAUGUCCAAACCACACAGUUAGUACAUGAUAGAGCUGGGACUUGAACUCAUACCUCUAUGAUCCUAUUCUCAAGCCUUGUCCACAACACUCAGUCAUCCUGAUCAAUCUCCUUGCUAGAUAUCUGAGGACACCGAGACCAGAGAGGCCAAGUGGCUUACCUAGGGUUCCACACUAGUUAGCAUCAGAGCUUACCGCCCAAUGGUUUCACUACCACUCUGUGUAUUGUUGAAUAUUACUGGUUAUGGUUUUCACUAAGCAAGCAAUACCACCACCUGGUGGCAGUAUGCCUGAAUUACAGGGGCAACUCCUGAGGGUCAACUCUCUCCUCCCUUUCAACCUGAUGACUAAAAUUGAUUUUCGAAAAAGUACCUAGCUGGGUGACAUCUGUGUGACAAAUUCCUAAAGUUGUCCUUCAUCAGAUCCCGCUUGAGAGCAGCAUUUGUAGGAGGGCUUGUGGGGUUGCAGAUGGGGUCAGUGGAUACGGAACAGAGUUAAUGGGAUGCACAGAUCUAGUCAAAAGCCUCAUUGUGCCUGGACCUUACCCCUCUAUCCCUGUGGCGAAACCCGUUUUGGCUGUUCACUCUGCGGUGCAAUGCUGGCUCUAAAAUGGACUGUCUCUCCUUUUUUAAAAUUUUUCUUGAGACCAAGUUUUGUUCUUGUUGCCCAGGCUGGAGUGCAAUAGCGUGAUCUCGGCUUGCUACAACCUCCGCCUCUCUGGUUCAAGCUAUUCUCCUGCCUCAGACUUCUGAGUAGCUGGGAUUACAGGCAUGUGCCACCAUGCCCAACUAAUUUUGUAUUAGUAGAGAUGGGGUUCCUCCAUGUUGGCCAGGCUGGUCUCAAGGUUCCAACCUCAGGUGAUCUGCCCACCUCAACCUCCCAAAGUUGGGAUUACAGGCACGAGCCAUCGUACCUGGCCCUGGACUGUCUCUUUAAAAAUCUUUCUGGUUGUAACUGAAGCGGUAACCGAAGCAACCGCUGAGGCUGUUACCAAGGGCAACCUGGCAAGCCAGAGUGCGUUAAAUUAAAUUAAACAGGCUUGUGAGUGCCCCUCCCCUCCUGGAGAAGGGAGGGGUGUUCCACCUCUCUCCCGGAGAAUAAAGUUGCUGUGAAACCUCUUAUGGCUGCAAGGAAUUCAGUUACAGAGUUUACGACUCCCAGAGGCAAGAUGUUUGGAGGCAGCCUGGGAGGAGGCUCACAGGACUUCUGCCAGAAGAGGAGUAUUUACAAGCGCACAUUUCAGCACUUGGGAGGCCGAGGCAGGAGAAUCUCUUGAACCUAGGAGGUGAAGGUUGCAGUGAGCGGAGAUCGUGCUACUGCACUCCAGCCUGGUGACAGAACAAGACUCCGUCACUAAAAAAAACGAAGAAGGGCUGGGCACGGUGGCUCAUGCCUGUAAUCCCAGCACUUUGGGAGGCCGAGGUGGGUGGAUCACGAGGUCAAGAGAUCGAGAUCAUCCUGGUCAACAUGUGAAACCCCGUCUCUACUAAAAAUACAAAAAAUUAGCUGGGCAUGGUGGCGCGUGCCUGUAAUCCCAGCUACUCAGGAGGCUGAGGCAGGAGAAUUGCUUGAACCCAGGAGGCAGAGGUUGCAUUGAGCCGAGAUCGCGCCAUUGCACUCCAGCCUGGGUAACAAAAACGAAACUCCGUCUCAAAAAAAAAAGAAGAAGAAGAAGAAAAGAAAUUGUGAUCCUCAGGGAAGCAUGAAGAUCGAAGCUCCUGUGGGCUGGACCAGGAAACAGAGACUACAGAAAAAGCCACCGGCCCGGCCACAUAGCUCAGGGCAGAAGCGCCAGGAUUCCAGUUCACAUCUGCCUCCCUCCAGUGCCCCUGCUGUUUCCACCUCAUCGUGCUGACUCUGUGAAGGCUGACACUGCAGGAAUAAAAGUCACAAGGUGGCAGGCCUGUGGACGUGUCCUUCCUGCACAACUGGAAUGUCCUCUGUGAUGACACGGAACAGCCUUUCUGCUCCUGCAAACCCAGCCCCGCCCCAUCUGGCCCCAGCCUACUGCCUGUGGGGCAUGCACAACACAGGCAGGGAAGGGGGUGUCUCUUCCCCACACCCAGCUGCCAGUGGCGAUGCGUCGUGCUCCUGCCUUGUCAGCUGUGGGGAGGAAACACAGGAUGGGAUUGGAGUCCCACCCCUGCCUCUCACUCCUCCAGGGGUCCUGGAGAGCCCACUGGCUUGGCUCAACUUCUACAUCUGCAAACAGGGGUGACCCCACGUGCUCUGCCGGUGCCACAGGCAUGUUGGUGGGGUGGUGUGCGCACAGGCGGGGAGAAUUUGGGGGUUGGGUGUUAUGCCAUGGAAGCAAAUAUUCAGCCCUGUCUUGGACUCUCUGGGCAGUUCCCUGUGGAUUUGAAGCUUUGAGCAGCUCCCUGUUGCCACCUCCCUUCUGGUCCUAGGCCUGUCAUGCAAACACUGGCCCUGUGAAUCAACUUUGCUAUGUGCGGGGACCCAUACUUGCUGGACUGUGUUGAGCCACUUCUCAGUUUCAUUGUCCCUAGUGAGAGGGCCAUCCCUUCCUGGUCCAGAGUCCAAAUCCAACUCUAGCACUGAUAGUAGCUGAGUGGGUCUGCAGAGCUCUUUCCCUCCGUGUAACAACAGUGAUGCCUGAAUUUGCUCAGCUUCUCCCGUGGGUCUGUGCCGUGCUGCACUCUAAUACACAUCAUCUUUCUCCUGUAGAAGAGGUGGUUGGGCUGGAUGAUGCUAAAAGCAGCUUUGGCUCUGGGCUUCUGGGAACCCAGUUCUCAAACUUCCCAGCUAAGUGGGGAGAGAAGCCAGUAACAAGCCUAGAAGACACUGAUAGGCAAAGGUGAGUGCCCCAAGGCCACGGAAGUCUGGAGCCAGACCCUGAGGAAAGCUGUCCUUCCGCCUGGGCUUUGAUAUCCCGCAGACCUGAGUUCAGUUCCUGCCAGCCACAUGCGCCCUUGGGCAAGUCACAGCACCUCUCCAGCCUUAGUUUGCCAUCUAUAGAAUGGGGUUAAUAACAAUGUGGAUUUGGCAGCAUUUCUGUGAAGAUCAAAUGAGAUCAUUGAUGAAAAGCACUGUGUGCACAGUGCCUGAGAUCUCAUCCAGCUUCAUCUACCUCCUCUUGUAGCUAACCAAGUCAAACCAUUCAGAAUUGUGGACUCGUGUGUGUGUGUGUCUGUGUGUGCGUGCACACUCAUGCAUGCAUGCAUGCAUACCAGGGAUCCUGGGGUUGCUGACCUAUGGCACUUUCUUGGCCCUUCCUGCCAGGUCCCCACCCCGCUGGGAGGAGUGAUAGACUGGAAUGCCCACACCUUUGUUCGUGAGACUAGCCACCUCCCUCCCCAGCUGCCUCAGCUGGCUGGUGAAGUGUGGACAGCCCUGGGUGCACUGGGACAACCUGGACAAACUUCCCCUCCCUGAGCCUGUUAUGCCCAGGGUAUGAGGAGGAACCACAAUACCUGGCAGUGUGUCUGUGAGGUUUGAAUAAACAUAAAAUGGGCCGGGUGCAGUGGCUCACACCUGUAAUCCUAGCACUUUGGGAGGCUGAGGCAGGUGGAUCACAAGGUCAGGAGUUCAAGACUAGCCUGGCCAAGAUGGUGAAACCCUGUCUCUAAAAAUUAAAAAAAAAUUAGCCAGGAGUGGUGGCAGGUGGCUAUAAUCCCAGCUACUUGGGAGACUGAGCUGAGAUAGCAGCACUGCAUUCCAGCCUGGGUGACAGGGCGAGACUCCACCUCAAAAUAAUAAUAAUAAUAAUAAAUAAAAUGCACGAAGGCAGGUGAGAGCCUGAGCUCAAUGCACAAUGCACAGACACCAUUGCAGGUGUGGCUUCUGUCAUCACUCAGGGCCUGCCCUGGUGUGUGUGAGUGACUGCAUGUGUGUGUUAAGGCACCAGUGUUUUGGGAAAAUGGGAAGAAAAUAACAUAACUGAGUUGGCUUGGGACAGGUAUAUUAUUUUUUUUUUUGUUU
This is a long non-coding RNA of Callithrix jacchus (white-tufted-ear marmoset), 5142 nucleotides long. RefSeq lists it as uncharacterized. NCBI's taxonomy places the organism in Eukaryota, Metazoa, Chordata, Mammalia, Primates, Cebidae. The record is from RefSeq and is a predicted model, not a curated record.